GUGGGGCCCCGAGGUACCAACAAGACUUAGAAAUUCCAAAAUGGCUGCCAUUGCCAUGGAAACAGAAGAAAUGUUUAACAUUGGCCCUAUGGGAAAACACAUAAAAGCUGUAUUUUCUUUUAGAAUUUUGGAUGAAACCUACUGAAACUUUAUGGAUAUGUACCAUGGCAUAUGACAAUACCUUAUCUGUCUUAGGAAUUUAGGUAGUGCUUCU
Molecule: long non-coding RNA, 214 nt
Filed under: Mytilus galloprovincialis (Mediterranean mussel)
Lineage: Eukaryota; Metazoa; Mollusca; Bivalvia; Mytilida; Mytilidae
Source: RNAcentral